AGGGCCUGGGGGUUGUGCCUGAGGCUUGGGCUCUUGCAUACUCAGGGUUUGGGGGUGCCAAGAAGGAGGGGUUUCUAACGUCUUUCCUUCCAUCAAAGUUUGGGAUUCUGAGGGCAACGUUCUGGCUCUGGAUCCCGCCUGCAUUCCAGGAACUGGGUCAGCUGCUCUGGCCUGGAGGUCUGUCUGAAGGGCUCUGAGGAGCAUUUAGGGGCAGAAUGGCAGGGACAGAGUCAGCAAGAAGAGCAAACAUCCAUGUCCCCCAUUCGAUGCUUUCCUCUGAGAUAUUGCCCAUCUAACCAUCUCCAGCCUCCUCUCAUCUUUACUCUUCCUCUUGGAUGUCAUGAAUGGUCUGCUGUUCCCUCUCUCCUGCCUAUCUGCCUCCUCUGGAGUCCACACUCUGAGGCUAUGUGCCCAC
RNAcentral lists this long non-coding RNA (415 nucleotides) under Fukomys damarensis (Damara mole-rat). RNAcentral's name for it is "lncRNA (ENSFDAG00000027736.1)". The record is from RNAcentral. Lineage: Eukaryota; Metazoa; Chordata; Mammalia; Rodentia; Bathyergidae.